AGGACUUCUGCGGUCCUCCUCGGACCAUCACUUUGUCAUUUCUCGAUUUUGUCUUUUUUUGAAGGGACCGCGUUGUCAGGCGAGGGACGGAAUCUUGGAGGCUCCCUGGGCCCAGUGAAACAGGAGCGAGAAAGGCACGAGAGUCGGGGAAGUUCCGCCUUCGUGACAUACAAGCGCCCCCACCGCGGCGAAUAUCGCCCCCGAGCCCCAGUGUUCGCCCCCCGCCUUAGAUGAAGCCGGCCCAGUGGGACACUCAGGUUGCACCGCGCGGAGGUGUCUGGGGCUCCCGGGAGUCGUGGCCCUUGGCGUUGUGUCGGCUUUAUGGAGCGCGAGGCCGAGGCCAAGAAAAGCUACGCGUUGGGAGGUCUUGACCCAGCGUGCCCCCGGCUGUAGGCAUGGACCGUGCGCCAAAGGUCUCCUGGCACCCACUCCGCUGGACUCAGCACCAUUGUCCUAAGUCUCCCAUUGAGAAGUAUCUGCCCCAGGUCCUCUGGGGGCCCCACUGAAUAGUGUGGAGCGUUCACAGGUUGGGGGUCACCAUUUCAGAAAUCAGUUUGUUGAGAUGUGGAGGGUACAGGAGGAGGGAUCUGCAUAUGCGAAGACUUGGACUUGACACUGACCUAAGCGUUCAGGAAGGCUCUCGUGCCCCCUUGGCAGCGAGUGGAGAGCGUAAAAGGAGUCCUGCCUCUCCUGGCACACUGAGGGCGCCUGGGAGUCAUGAAAGGUGUUGAACAGAAAAGGGAUGGACAUGACCUGAGUUAGAAUUUGGAAAGUAUUUCAGUGGCUGCUGAAUGAACACACUACUGUAGAAGGUGGUUGUAGCGGGGCUGGAAGCAGGGAGACUGGGGGAGGUUAUUGCAGUAUUGUUCCAGACAGUUAUGAUAGUGGCCUGUCCAGAACGGAAGCAAGAAGGAUGGGAGAAGUGAUCAGAUUCCCAAUGGAUCUUCAAGAUAGAGCUAAUGGAAUUUUUUGCUACCUUAGAUAAGUGGAAUAAGCAUGAGUAGGGGUGAAGGAUCAUCCCAAGUAGUUAGGAAGAAUUAGGAUGCCUCCUGUGGAGAAUAGAGGUUGGCGGUUGGCAGGAGGAGGGUGUUUCAUGGAAGAUUCGCAAUGGAUUUUGUAGGUAUAGAGUCUGAAUUGUCUGGAGACCUGUGAGUGGAGGUAUCAAAUGCGCCUCUGGAUAUAUAGAAUUCUGGUGUGGCUUCAGGACGUCCAGACUGCAUUAUGUUGGUGGCCUGGACCAGUGAAGGGCCUGAAGAUAGGAUUUGGGAAGGAGGGUUUUAGGAUGGAGUUACAGAUGGGCCCGCAAGGUGAAGUGUUGAGACUAAGGACCAGUGGCUAGGGCUCAUGCUCAGUGCUUAGAUCACAUCUGUCUGCCCAUUGGCUUGGUGUUGCAGGGCUUAGUGACCUUUGAGGACAGGGUCAGUACAUCUUCCAAAAAUGUGGGGCUCCUUAGUGAGGUCCAAGGGGGCUUCUACAGUGACAUGAUACUACACAGCUUUGUACUCCUGUUCUCACUAGGUAAGGCUACUGUGUCUCCUCUUUCCCCUACACAUGAAAUCUAGGUUUUCCUCUGCCUUUCCAUUGUUCCCUGUGGGAGGUGCUGCUGGCCCUGGCACUGGCCAGUGUCCUGCUGAGUCCGGAAUUGUUUCCUUCCGGUGGGUUCUUGGUCUCGCUGACUUCAAGAAUAAAGCUGCGGACCCUCGUGGUGAGUGUUACAGUCUUAAAGAUAGUGUGUCUGGAGUUUGUUCCUUCAGAUGUUCAGAUGUGUCUGGAGUUUUUUCCUUCUGGUGGGUUCAUGGUCUUGCUGACUUCAGGACUGAAACCGCAGGAGUGAAGCCGCAGUGAGUGUUACAGCUCUUAAAGGUGGCACAUCCAGAGUUGUUCAUUCCUCCUGGUGGGUUCGUGGUCUUGCUGACUUCAGGAGUGAAGCUGCAGACCUUCACAGUGAGUGUUACAGCUCUUAAAGGUGGCGUGUCCGGUGUUGUUUGUUCCUCCCAGUGGGUUUGUGGUCUCGCUGGCUUCAGGAGUGAAACUGCAGACCUUUGUGGUGAGUGUUACAGCUCAUAAAGGUAGUGUGGACCCAAAGAGUGAGCAGCAGCAAGAUUUAUUGUGAAGAGCAAAAGAACAAAGCUUCUACAGCAUGGAAGAGGACCUGCCGGUUGCAGCUGCUGGCUUGGGUGGCCAGCUUUUAUUCUAUUUGGCCCUGCCCACAUCCUGCUGAUUGGUCCAUUUUACAGAGCACUGAUUGGUCCAUUUUUACAGAGUGCUGAUUGGUGAGUUUACAAACCUUUAGCUAGACACAGAGCACUGAUUGGUGUAUUUACAAUCCUUUAGCUAGACAGAAAAGUUUUUCAAGUCCCCAGCCGAUUAGCUAGACACAGAGCACUGAUUGGUGCGUUUACAAACCUUUAGGGAGACACAGAGCACUGAUUGGUGCAUUUUUACAGAGUGCUGAUUGGUGCGUUUACAAACCUUUAGCUAGACACAGAGUGCUGAUUGGUGCGUUUACAGUCCUUUAGCUAGACAGAAAAGUUCCCCAAGUCCCCACCGGACCCAGAAGCCCAGCUGGCAUCACCUUUCACUGCUACUUAUCCCUGGCUGCAGCACAAACCCCCACACCUUCUGCCCUGGGAUCUUGACAACCUUGUGAAGCCACAGUGAUGGUCCCUGCACCCACUCCUACACCAUUCUCCAGCUCUAGAGGCCUCCUGUAGCCCAAUCCACCAGCCACAAAAUGAGGACCACUAUGGCGGUGCCGGAAAUCUCACCCCUCAAUGCCCACCUGGAAUCGGAAGUCUCAAAACCUGUGUAGCAUAUCACAUGCAGCUGGGUCGUUUCCUGACUAGGUUACCCUGUCAGGAUCUGUGACUUUUCUGUGCUUUCUGCCACAUUCCCUCACUCUAGUAGGAGUUUUCUGCCAGCUGUCCCUUGUGAGUCCCAGUGGGCACUGACAUGGUCAUUGAUUGUGGGGUCACUGAGCAUUGACUUUGUGAGGUUCAGUUCUUACCAACUAUAUACCUGCACAGGUGAUCUUCACCAAUGGUGGUUUGUCAUGGGGUGGAUCACCUUGACGUGGGCUGCCUUCUCACAAACCACUUGAUGAGAGCGCUAUAGGAUCACUGCUGCCACCCCUGCCAUGUGAUCACCUAACUAGAACAAAUGAAGAGACCUGGCUGGUGGUCAAGGUGGCUUGAAUUAGGCCAUGGACAGAGAGGCCCCAUGGUGCACCAGUUCUGUUGAGUGGAAGACAGCUGUGGGAGAGCUGUUGGCAGUGCCCUGGUGGCUCACCUGGUACCUGAGUUGUGCCCUCCGUUGUCCUGGCACCAGGAUGUAUAGCCAUGCCUUUUUAAAAAAUUUUUCCUGACCUUCUUCUGACACUCUAUCGUACUUUCCCCUGACUCCUGUUUCCUGGAUGGCUUCCUCUCUGUCUUCCAAGAUUCAUUCUUUCCCCUUCUCCCCUCCUCCCCUCCAGUGGCCAGGUCCUCUACCAUUGGCCUCCCUUUAAUGUGUCUUGAACUGAUAAUGUAUCUUUAAAUAGUUGUUAUUUGCACGUGGUGGCUCAUACCUACAGUCCCACCUACUUGGGAUGCUGAGGCAGGAGGAGUGCUUGAGCCCAGGAGUUUGAGUCCAGCUUGGGCAACAUAACGAGAUCCUAUCUCUAAAAUAAAUAAAUACAUAAAUACCUAAAUAGUUUUUGAAAACCUCUUCUUCCAUGAGACUGGCUUGUUCCAUUUGAGGAGUAUGGGCAUAAGUGUCAAUGGUUCAAGACCUGGACUUCACUCACUGCAUGGUACUGGCCUAUCACCAGACACUAGGGCCCUGCAGCUCCACAUUUUGCAGAACCUACAGAGAACUGACACUGAAGAGAUAUCUGAUAAAUACACAGCAUAUGGAAAUGUGUUUGAGGAGAAGCAAACCUUUUCUCCUACCAAAAAACCUCACACUGGAAAAAAUUGCAAGUGUAUUAUAAGCAUGGGAAGGCCUUCACUUUUGUCUUCAUCCUGAGAAAGCAGGAGUACAUGCACAUCUUCAAAGGGCCUUACGAGUAUAGUAACAUGGGGAAUCCUCCAGCCAGAACUCCACCUCCUUUGAGCACCAAAAUGUUCACCCCAGAGAAAGUCCCCAUAAGUGCAAGGAGUGUGGCCCAGCCAUGAGCAAAAUUUUGCAAAACUCUAUUCUGUAUCAAAAUGGUCAUACCCUAUGAAGGACUCCUAAGUUCAGAGAAUGUGGGGCACUGCCAGCUGUCCUGGUGGCUUCCCUGGUACCUGACUUGAGGUUCAUACAUGUUAUAUUCAGAGUUCUGCUUUCAUUAGCAAAAACAAAUUAACACCGGAGAAUGGUUGUACAAAUGCAAUAACUACAUGAAAGCUUUCAGUGAAAUAUGAAACCUCAUCCUGCAGAAUUCUCAUCAGAGACAGGCCCACUGCAACGCAGCUAAUGUUGGAAAGCCUAUUCUCAAUUUUAAUCCUAUUUAGCACCAGCAAUUUACAACAUUGUGAGUGUAGCAUGUCGGAGAGCAAAAAAUUGCAGCUCCUGCCUUGAUGUGCACAAAGUGAUUCACACUGGAAAACCCUCUAUGAGUGCAGCCAGCAUGGGAGAGCAUCAGCCACAGCUCCUGCCUUGCUUGGCACCAGAAACUUCACCCUCGAGAAAAGCCUUUGAUUAUAGUAAAUGUAGGAAAGUCUUCAGCUCCUCUAUUUAGUAUAAAAGAAUUCACACUCGCCGGGUGUGGUGCCUCAUGCCGGUAAUCCCAGCACUUUGGGAGGCUGAGGCAGGGGGAUCACCUGAGGUCAGGAGUUUGAGACCAACCUGGCUAACAUGGCAAAACCCCCUCUUUACAAAAAAUACAAAAAUCAGCUGGGCAUGGUGACGCGCAUCUGUAAUCCCAGCUACACCAGAGGCUGAGGCAGGAGGAUUGCUUGACCUCAGGAGGCGGAGGUUGCAGUGAGCUGAGUUAGAGCCACUGUACCCCAGCCUGGGUGACAGAGCAAGACCCUGUCUCCCUCACCAGAAACAAACAAACAAAAAA
RNAcentral lists this long non-coding RNA (5029 nucleotides) under Pongo abelii (Sumatran orangutan). Its description in RNAcentral is "lincRNA". Lineage: Eukaryota; Metazoa; Chordata; Mammalia; Primates; Hominidae. The record is from RNAcentral.